RNAcentral lists this ribosomal RNA (499 nucleotides) under uncultured bacterium. RNAcentral describes it as "bacterial SSU rRNA". It matches the Rfam family "Bacterial small subunit ribosomal RNA", at positions 29 to 507 of the family's 1533-position model. The record is from RNAcentral.
ACGAACGCUGGCGGCGUGCCUAAUACAUGCAAGUCGAGCGGAAUGAUGAAGAAGCUUGCUUCUUCUGAUUUUAGCGGCGGACGGGUGAGUAACACGUGGGCAACCUACCUUGUAGAUUGGGAUAACUCCGGGAAACCGGGGCUAAUACCGAAUAAUCCAUUUUGCUUCAUGGCGAGAUGUUGAAAGACGGUUUCGGCUGUCACUACAAGAUGGGCCCGCGGCGCAUUAGCUAGUUGGUAGGGUAAUGGCCUACCAAGGCGACGAUGCGUAGCCGACCUGAGAAGGUGAUCGGCCACACUGGGACUGAGACACGGCCCAGACUCCUACGGGAGGCAGCAGCAAGGAAUAUUGGGCAAUGGGCGAAAGCCUGAUGGAGCAACGCCGCGUGAGUGAAGAAGGUUUUCGGAUCGUAAAACUCUGUUGUAAGGGAAGAACACGUACGAGAGUAACUGCUCGUACCUUGACGGUACCUUAUUAGAAAGCCACGGCUAACUACGUG